GAUGAACGCUAGCGGCAGGCCUAACACAUGCAAGUCGAGGGAGAGGUUACCUUCGGGUAACCAAAACCGGCGCACGGGUGCGUAACGCGUAUACAAUCUGCCUUUCACAUAGGGAUAGCCCGAAGAAAUUUGGAUUAAUACCUAAUGGUAUAUAAGAGCGGCAUCGUUUUUAUAUUAAAGCUACGGUGGUGAAAGAUGAGUAUGCGUUCUAUUAGCUAGUUGGAGAGGUAACGGCUCCCCAAGGCGACGAUAGAUAGGGGUUCUGAGAGGGAUGUCCCCCACACUGGUACUGAGAUACGGACCAGACUCCUACGGGAGGCAGCAGUGAGGAAUAUUGGACAAUGGUCGGAAGACUGAUCCAGCCAUGCCGCGUGCAGGAUGAAGGUCCUAUGGAUUGUAAACUGCUUUUGGAAGGGAAGAAUAAGGAGUACGUGUACUUUGAUGACGGUACCUGACGAAUAAGCAUCGGCUAACUCCGUG
RNAcentral lists this ribosomal RNA (480 nucleotides) under uncultured bacterium. RNAcentral's name for it is "partial 16S ribosomal RNA". It matches the Rfam family "Bacterial small subunit ribosomal RNA", at positions 28 to 507 of the family's 1533-position model. The record is from RNAcentral.